GUUUUUAUAGUUGAAUACAACGGUGGUUUUUCAGAUCGCUAGUCUUGGUGGUUAAGACCAAGUAAGAACU
RNAcentral lists this transfer RNA (70 nucleotides) under Cyrtodactylus louisiadensis. RNAcentral's name for it is "tRNA-Glu". Lineage: Eukaryota; Metazoa; Chordata; Lepidosauria; Squamata; Gekkonidae. The record is from RNAcentral.